CUGUCAUUCUUCGUUUGGUCGUUGAAGGGUUCGGACGUGUUUUUCGAAGCUCUCGACGUCGUGACCUAAUUAUAAUUUGAACUGCGCGGGUAAAAAACGCUCAGUUGCGGCUUGGACAUUGACCAAUACGGACGUGUUUUUAAAGCGCUCUGAAAAAAGUUUUGACUUUUAAAUUUUUUUUACUACGACAGAAUCUUAGUUGACUGAUGGUCUUUGACAAAGACAGACUUGUUUUUGUGAGCUCUGAAAAAAAUUUGACUUUGAAAUAUUUUUACGAUUAAAAAGUUUCAGUUGACUUUUGAACGUUGACGAAGACGGACGUACUUUCGUGAGCUCUGACUAUUGAUGAAAAGUUUUGAGUUUUACUGACUUGUACUUUGAGAGUAAAAUUGACUUCGCGUUAUAGAAUAGCGACUUGGUACUCAGGUUGUUGAAUGACUGGAUGACUGUAGUGUUAGGUUAUUGUUAUGAGAUAACAACUUGACUUUGACUUGAGUUGUGAAAUGAAAUCAUACUCUUAUGCGAUGUUAACUUUUGAACGUUUAGUAUUGACUGACAACGAACUUUUGUGAGCGUUAUAUAUGAAAUGUUUGACUUACAUUAAUUUUUUUGAACGACUUGACUUCACUUUAAGUUUUGACAUCGGACUGAUCGGACGUGUUUUUUUAAGCCCUGACUGUUGUGAAUAAUUAAAUUUAUGUUGUGGUGUCAAGCGAUUGACUGUCAGUUGAGGUUCAGAUGUCGAGCUGUGCGGACGUGUUCAUCGAGCUGCUGUCUACAAAAAACGUGAGUACAAAUUUUUUUCGUUUUACUGUUUACAAGUUGCGUGAUGAUGUAUGAUGGUUGUAAUGUGUUGGGUAGAAAUUACUCAGUGCUGAUACAGUGUCGAUAUGUUGUGAUGAGCGAUAAUAGUGGAUGAUGGUGGAACAGAAUAUUCAUUGAGCUAUUUUGAGGAAGCGAACAUAUGAUGGAAAAAUGUUGCAAAAAUAUUAAAUGACAAUGUAUUGAAUCGCUUUUGUUGAUAUGUAUGAUAUUGAUUAAAUUGUAUUUGCAUGCUGUAACAUUUCUAUUCCAUUUCAGGGGGCUGUGGUGAGUAUUGUAGUAUAAAUUUGUUUCAAUAAAUCAUGAUGAAUGAAAACUGAUUUUGAUUCGUUUUGUACAGGUUUACUUGUAUAGAAGUGUAAUGCGUUGGGUAGAAAUUAGAAUCUACUCAGUACUGAUAUAGUGUCGAUAUGUGUGAUUCGCGAUGAUGGUGUAUGAUGGUGGAACAGAACAUGAGCUACUUUGGGGAAACGAACAUAUGAUUGAACAAUGAUUGCAAACAUAUUAGAUGAAUGAUAUGAUAUUGCUUAAAUUGUAUUUGCAUGCUGUAACAUUUCUAUUUCAUUUCAGGGUGCUGUGGUGAGUACUGUAGAUUGUAGUGCAUAUGUAUAGAAUUCAAUAAAAGAUUAUGACUGAAAACUGCUUUUGAUUCUUAUUGUACAGUUUUAGGGAUUAUAAGUCUAUAGCAACUCUGUCGGUUGGUGUUCAUGAGUGUGAGCUUAAUACAGCAAUGUUUGAGUAGUACAAAAAUGUUUUCGCUUUUGUGGUCGCCAGCUGUCCGUGAUCUGUAAAGUGAAAAUACACAGAGCUAUGAAGCAUACAGAUGUUUCGAAAUUUUAUCAAUGAUUGUAUACUAUGCAUGUUUUGAUUUAGUUCGUUUCAGAUUUGACAUGAGAUGAAAACCUGACAUGAUUUGAACAGAGCUGGGAAAUGAAAAGAUUUUCAGAUGUGUGCUGGCAGUUCAAGUCUGGCAGCUGGAGUGAACAGUCGUGUUUUCUGGAGCUCCAACAAUAUGCUAGAAGGUAAGUAACUAUGUUUGUUUUGCAUUGCAUGUUUUUAUAUGUUUCAGACUUUCAAGCAGAGAUGUCAUGCUGACUGGAGUUGAGCACAGGGCAGUGACAAAGUGAAAGGUAAGUACUUUUGACUGAAUGUUUGUUCUAUGCAUGUUUUGUUUUAAUACAUUUCAGGAGUGCUUAUCCAGUGAUGAUAUGACAGUUGGAGUGAACAGUGGAGCCAAGCAGUCUUGUUUUUGGAGCUACUCAACAAGCCUUGAAGAUGCUGAUGGCAGUGAUGGGUUUUCAAGCUGACCUGAACAGAAAAGCAGUCAUAUGGUAAGUACAAAAUAGUUGUUAUAUGGGAUGUUUUGUGCAUGCUUUUAUGUUUCAGGUGUACUUGCUGACAGCGACGAAGACGAAUCAAGAAGAGGAACAUUGUUGAGACAGUGAUUGGGACUUGCAAACAGGGUAAGUGUAACACUUGUGUUUGUUUAAUUUGUAACAUGCGUGCUUUGCUCUGUUUCAGAUUUCACAUGCAGAAAUUAAACAGGAUCUCAACUGCUGAAACACAAUUCAUCAAAAGUAAGGUAAGUUUUAAUUCAUUGAUUUGAAUUGUACAAUGUGUUCUUUACUUUAUUUCAGAUUCGAGUCACUGGUUUACACAUGGAAGAAGAUUUCCACGUCUGUUACUCAACUCUACAGAAGCAAGGUAAGUCGAUCAAUUUUUUGUUUUAAUUUGUACUGCUGUAAUGUGAUGGUAAACUUAUGCUAUUUUUUAUGUGUGUCAUGUACAGAUGGAUAAUUCAAGUUUGAUCUGUGUUGGUUUAUGUUCAAAAACGUUUUACAUGUAUGUGUGUUUCCAGAUGUUUUGUUUCAGUUGAUGUCCAGAUGGCAAGCAGAACAGACGUGUUUCUUGGAUCUGCCAAACAGUGAGUACAAACGUUUUAUAUUUUUCAGUUGUGUACUCAUAGAAGUCUGUGAAAGAUGAUAGCAAGGGUAGAAUCUAUCAGUACUUGUGUCUAAAAAUGCUGAUGUGUGACGGUUUACUGAAAAGGGUAAAUGCUAGCCAGUACUUACACUUGAGCAACCGUGGGAUGUCGAACUAACUGAUGAUGUACUAUGAUGGUGAACACUUACUAUGUGUAUCAAAAUGCUUUUGUUGAUAUUUACUAUAGAUGAUUUGAUAUUGGUUAACAUUUGUUUGCAUGCUGUUAACAUUUCUAUUUCAUUUCAGGGAGCUGUGGUAAGUAUUGUAGUAUUAAUUUGUCUCAAUAAACGAUGAUGAAUGAAAACUGAUGUCGAUUCUUUUUGUACAGUUUUAGGUAUUAGCACUCUAUACAAAACUCUGUCGGUCGGUGUUUGUGAAUGUGAGCUUAAUGUUUGAGUCGAACAAAAAUGUCUUUACUUUUGUGAUCGCCAGUUGUCUGUGAUGUAAAGUGGAAAAAACACAGCUAUGAAGCAUACAAUUGUUUCAAUAUUUUAUCAAUGAUAGUGUGCUAUGCAUGUUUUGAUUUAGUUCGUUUCAGAUACGACAUGACAUGAAGAGUUGACAGUCGAACAGAGCUGAGCAAAGCAGAAAGGUAAGUGUGUUUCAUUUUAGUAUGAACACUUGUAUUUUGUUUUUAUAUGGUAUGUUUUGUGCAUGCUAUGUUUCAGGUGUACUUGUAGUCAGCGACGAAGACGAUUCAAGAAGAGGAACAUUGCUGAGAAAGUGAAUGGGACUUGCAAACAGGAUUCAAGUUUCUGGUGUAGACAGAAAAAUGUGUUUGAAGAAGGAAUUCUACUACUGUGAUUCAACUCUACAGAAGCAAGGUAAGUAGAAACAAAAUUUUGGUUUAAUUUAACUCAUGUGUUUUGCACUGCAUGCUAUUUUUCAGGUCUCUCAUGCAGUGAUGCAAAAGAAGAAGAUUUCAAGAAAGAAUCACUGCUGCAACUCAGGCCUAUAACAAGGUAAGUGUUUACUAUAUUGUAUACAAAAUGUUUCUCUGUUUUACUCUGUUUGAAGGUUUCAAUUGCAGAGAUGUUGCAGAGAUGUUUUGACAGCUUGUGACAGAAAAGAAAUUCAGCAGCUGUGUCUCGACUCUAGCCACGAGGUAAGUCAAAACAAAUAUACUGGUUUGUAUGUUAUGUUGUUAUGCCCUUCUAUGUUUCAGACUUACAUUGCUGUGACUGUUCCACAGUGGGUCAAAAAAGAGACGAAUACAGGUUUCAAGAAGAAAAUUGGCUGUUGAAAACCUGCACAAAAUAUGAGGUAAGUAAACUAUUCUUUUGGUUUGUUUUGUGCUUUGUUAUGCUUAACUAUUUUUCAGAUUGGAAUGGUGGGUCGUUACAGAGCAGACUUUUGGACAACUGAGAAGUUGAGAAACAGAGAAUGAUUCAAGAUCAGCUAGGUAAGUCUUGAUUAUUGUGCAUUGCUAAAUGUUUUUUUUUCAUUCCAGUAUGGCUGUGGUAAGUACACAAACUUUCUAUAAUUUAAUAUUGAACUGUUUUUAUGACCUGUAUUCUGCAUUGUAAAAUGUCUGUUUUUCAUUUCAGUAUCCUGUGGUAAGUACACUAACUUUCUUUAAUUUUCAUAUUGAACUGUUUUGAUGACUUGUAUUCUGCUAUACAAAAUGUGUUUUUUUCAUUUCAGUUGCCUGUGGUAAGUACACUAACUUUCUUUAAUUUUCAUAUUGAACUGUUUUGAUGACUUGUAUACUGCAUUGUAAAAUGUGUUUCUUUUUCAUUUCAGUAUGGCUGUGGUAAGUACACAAACUUUCUAUAAUUUCAUAUUGAACUGUUUUGAUGACUUGUAUUCUACUAUGCAAUGCUUAAUGUAUUUUUUCAGUAGCCUGUUGGUAAGUACAAUUGCCUUCUUUAAUUUUCAUAUUGAACUGUUUUGAUGAUGUGUAUACUGCUAUGCAAUGCUUAAUGUUUUUUUUCAUUUCAGUAUGGCUGUGGUAAGUACACAUACUUUCUAUAAUUUCAUAUUGAACUGUUUUGAUGACUUGUAUACUGCUAUGCAAAAUGUCUGUUUUUCAUUUCAGUAGCCAGUGGUAAGUACACUAACUUUCUUUAAUUUUCAUAUUGAACUGUUUUGAUGACUUGUAUUCUGCUAUACAAAAUGUGCUUUUUUCAAUUUCAGGUCAGCAAUGGUAAGUAUAGUGUGUUUCUUUAUGUAUAAUUUUGUAUACAUAUUGUUUUUUUCAUCAUAGCAUGUCUUUUAUAUUUAUGCUUUGUGUAAGUAAAAUGUUCAUAAAUCAUUCUUAUCUUCAAACUAAAAAUGUAUUGUGCUAUGCAAAAUGUCUGUAUGAUUUCAGUUGCCAGAGGUGAGUACCAUAACAGUUGAAAAGUUAGUUUUGUUUAGUUAAAGUUUUGGUUCACAGUUUUGUUUGUUAUUUGGCAAAAUUUACAUGUAUGCAUUGAGUCUUGAUUUCAGCUAGAUUGUGGACUGAAGAAGAUUGCCAGCAGAGGGAUUGGAUACAAGAUACAAAGUAAGUACUGAGUUUCUUACUAAAAGUUUUGAGUUGUAUUCAUCGUGUGUUAAUAUGCUAUGAUUGCUAUGAACAUGACUUUUGUAUUUCAGCGAAGACAACAUAGGUAAGUAAAAUUGUUAUCUGUUUCAUGUUUACUGUUACAGUUCAAUAUUGUGUUUAUAAAUUGUAAGUUGUACAAACACAUUCAAAAGUUUCUGAUCAUGCUUUCGAUUUCAUUUCAGCUUUACUGCUUGACGAGUGUUAUCAACUACUAGACGAGUCAGCUUUACUACCAGGCGAGCAGUGACAACAAGGCGCCUUUGUGGAAACAACACAACAAAAAACUCUACUGCUAGACGAGCAGUGACAGAAAGGCGCCUGAACAUGCAACACAAUACAAAAAAUGCCAAUUUGCAAACCUUGAUGUGGACACCGAGUAGUCAAUACAUACGUGUGGCGUAUAGCUGCGACAAAACCGUGGGUCCAUCGCACCGAUAACUUGAACAUUGGCCCGUGUAUGGACAUCAGUGCAACUUUGUGAAUCCAUGUAACUUUGUGAAUCCAUGUAACAUUGCGAAUGUGUGUCGAUCGAAAAAUGUGUACAUUCUGCACUGAAACGAACUCGGUGUUGCAAGUGGCAAGUGUUGACAGUGUGUAUGUUUAUGUUUAUGUUUUUACAUGAAAAAUAAAGGAGAUUGUUCUCCUACCUUUUUUUUCCUUGUUUUAUUGUGCUGGCCAGCAAUAUUGAUGUAUUGAUGUAUGUGUUUGUGUUUAAACUAUGCAAUACCAAAAUCAAACAAAAAAUAAACAUUAACAGUCA
Long non-coding RNA from Dreissena polymorpha, 6092 nucleotides. RefSeq lists it as uncharacterized. The transcript is spliced from 6 exons. The record is from RefSeq and is a predicted model, not a curated record. NCBI's taxonomy places the organism in Eukaryota, Metazoa, Mollusca, Bivalvia, Myida, Dreissenidae.